UGGGGAAUAUUGCACAAUGGGGGAAACCCUGAUGCAGCGACGCCGCGUGAGCGAUGAAGGCUUUCGAGUCGUAAAGCUCUGUCCUAUGGGAAGAUAAUGACGGUACCAUAGAAGAAAGCCCCGGCUAAUUACGUGCCAGCAGCCGCGGUAAUACGUAAGGGGCGAGCGUUGUCCGGAAUUAUUGGGCGUAAAGAGUGCGUAGGCGGCAAAUUAAGUCAGAUGUGAAAACUAAGGGCUCAACCCAUAGAUUGCAUCUGAAACUGAUAUGCUUGAGUCAAGGAGAGGAAAGUGGAAUUCCUAGUGGAGCGGUGGAAUGCGUAGAUAUUAGGAGGAAUACCGGUGGCGAAGGAGACUUUCUGGACUUGAACUGACGCUGAGGAACGAAAGCGUGGGGAGCAAACAGG
This 404-nucleotide ribosomal RNA is filed under the name Verrucomicrobiota bacterium. RNAcentral's name for it is "Verrucomicrobia bacterium partial 16S ribosomal RNA". It matches the Rfam family "Bacterial small subunit ribosomal RNA", at positions 355 to 776 of the family's 1533-position model. The record is from RNAcentral. Lineage: Bacteria; Pseudomonadati; Verrucomicrobiota.